Molecule: ribosomal RNA, 165 nt
Filed under: uncultured bacterium
Lineage: Bacteria
Description: partial 16S ribosomal RNA
Rfam family: Bacterial small subunit ribosomal RNA
Source: RNAcentral
ACUCCUACGGGAGGCAGCAGUGAGGAAUAUUGGUCAAUGGAGGCAACUCUGAACCAGCCAUGCCGCGUGCAGGAAGACUGCCCUAUGGGUUGUAAACUGCUUUUAUACAGGAAGAAACAGUCGUACGCCCACGACCUUGACGGUACUGUAAGAAUAAGCACCGGC